GUUUUUAUAAUUUAAAAAAAAUAUUGGUUUUGUAAACCAAAAAUAAAAAAAACCUUUUUAAAAACA
Molecule: transfer RNA, 66 nt
Filed under: Chrysolina herbacea
Lineage: Eukaryota; Metazoa; Arthropoda; Insecta; Coleoptera; Chrysomelidae
Description: tRNA-Thr
Rfam family: tRNA
About the family: Transfer RNA (tRNA) molecules are approximately 80 nucleotides in length. Their secondary structure includes four short double-helical elements and three loops (D, anti-codon, and T loops).
Source: RNAcentral